RNAcentral lists this ribosomal RNA (590 nucleotides) under Octaviania durianelloides. RNAcentral describes it as "partial small subunit ribosomal RNA". It matches the Rfam family "Bacterial small subunit ribosomal RNA", at positions 356 to 954 of the family's 1533-position model. The record is from RNAcentral. Lineage: Eukaryota; Fungi; Basidiomycota; Agaricomycetes; Boletales; Boletaceae.
CAAGAAUAUUAGUCAAUGCUCGCAAGAGUGAACUAGCUAACUGAAAUCUUAAUUUAUUUAAUUAUUAAGAUAAGGUAAGAGAAAAUAAUGAUAUUAUCUUACUAUUAGUGUCGUCUAAAUUUGGUGCCAGAAGACUCGGUAAGACCUUAGACACGAACGUUAAUCGUCAUAAUCAGGCGUAAAGGGUGUGUAGGCGGCUUUAAAAUAAUAAUUUAUUAUUUUUAUAAUAUUUUAUUAUUAAAAUUAAAGCUAGAAUCUAAAAGAGGGUAAGCUAAACAACAUAAUUAAUUAGGACUGACAACUUAUAAUAAUGUGGAGUACUAAAGGUUAAAGCUAUUUAUCUACUUAAGAUUGACGCUCAGAAACGAAGGGGAGAAUAAGAAACUUAGAUUAGAGACCUAAUUAUCUCUCUCAGUCAACGAUGAAUGGUAGUUAUUAAAAAUACAAAUAUAAUAUAAAAAUAUUAUAUAGAUAUUAGUAACGAGGUUAACACGAUGACCAUUCCGCCUUGUUAGUAAGACUGCAAAGUUGAAAACAAAAAAAUUAGUCGGUCUUGAAGCAAACGAAGUGAAGCAUGUUAUUUAAUUCGA